UCGUUUAUGUCAUUACACAGAAAUAUUUCUGAUUGUCGUUGUGAGAUUUGUGGGAAAAAAUUUCCUUCUGAGCUCGAAGUUUCCGCCCACAAACAAAUACACAGCAGAGAAAAAUCGUUUGACUGUGGGACUUGUGGGAAAUCAUUCGCCCAGAACUCAAAGCUUAUUAUCCAUGUACGAAGCCACACGGGAGUGAAACCGUAUCACUGUGAUAUCUGUGGGAAAUCUUUCGUCAUUAAAAGUUAUUUAACAGCACAUAGACUUAUACACACAGGGAAAAAACCUUUCCGUUGUGAAAUCUGUGGGAAAUGUUUUAUCUCCAGCAGUUGUUUGACAAGGCAUAAACGAGUCCACACGGGAGAAAAGCCGUUUCGUUGUGAAGUUUGUGGGAAAUGUUUCACUCAGAAUUCUCAUCUUGUUGUUCACAAAACAACGCAUACAGAAGAAAAACCUUAUCCUUGUGAAAUGUGUGGGAAAUGUUUUGUGAACAAUAGUAAUUUAAGAACACACAUGAAGAUACACAACAGAGGAAACCCGUUUGAGUGUGAUGUAUGUGGUAAGUCCUUUCACGAUAAGAGUAAUUUAACGACACAUAAACGAAUCCACAGCGGGGAGAAACCGUUCCACUGUGAGAUUUGUGGUAAAGCUUUUACUCAGAAUUCCCAUCUUGCGAUCCACAAACGGAGCCAUACGGGAGAAAAGCCCUUCUACUGUGAAUUAUGUUCGAAGUCUUUUAUUUCCAACAGUGAUCUGACGAAACACCAAAGGGUCCAUGCGGGAGUGAAACCUUAUCGAUGUGAAUUGUGCGGAAAAUCUUUUCGUGAUAAUAGUAAUUUAACAACUCAUAAACGAAUACACUCUGGAAAAAACUUACAUGGCUGUGAAUUAUGUGGAAAAACUUUUAUUAAUAAUUCAAAACUUGUCGUCCACAUACGAAGUCAUACGGGAGAGAAACCUUAUCACUGUGAUAUCUGCGGCAAGUCCUUUUUGGCCAGUAGUUAUAUAACAGCACACAAAAUUAUACACACUGGAGGAAAACCUUUCUACUGUCAAGUAUGUGGUAAAUCUUUUGCGUAUAAUAGUAAUUUAACAAGGCACAAACAGAUACAUGCUGGAGGAGAUCUAAUUUUCAACUGUGAAACAUGAAAACUGUUUCUCUCACUAAUCUGUUGUGAGACCCAUUUUUGUUCCAACAUUUUAACUGUGAAUUAUGUGGGAAAACCGUGGAGGCACAAUGGCCCAGUGGUUAGGGCAGCGGACUCGCGGUUGUAGCAGGGGAUCUAAUUUUCGACUGAAACAUGAGAAUUGUUUCUCUCACAAAUCUGUUGUGAGACCCAUUUUUGUUCUGACAUUUUAACUGUGAAUUAUGAAGGCACGUGGCUCAGUGGUUAGAGCGUCGAGCUUACAAUCGUGAGGUUGUGAACUCAAAUCCCGGACCGGGCUGCGCGUUGUGUU
Molecule: unclassified non-coding RNA, 1455 nt
Filed under: Octopus sinensis (East Asian common octopus)
Lineage: Eukaryota; Metazoa; Mollusca; Cephalopoda; Octopoda; Octopodidae
Description: zinc finger protein 239-like, transcript variant X2
Source: RNAcentral